UACGUAGGGCGCAGGCGUUAUCCGGAAUUAUUGGGCGUAAAGGGCUUGUAGGCGGUCUGUCGCGUCUGCUGUGAAAAUCCGGGGCUCAACCCCGGACUUGCAGUGGGUACGGGCAGACUAGAGUGUGGUAGGGGAGACUGGAAUUCCUGGUGUAGCGGUGAAAUGCGCAGAUAUCAGGAGGAACACCGAUGGCGAAGGCAGGUCUCUGGGCCACUACUGACGCUGAGAAGCGAAAGCAUGGGGAGCGAACAGG
RNAcentral lists this ribosomal RNA (253 nucleotides) under uncultured bacterium. RNAcentral describes it as "partial 16S ribosomal RNA". It matches the Rfam family "Bacterial small subunit ribosomal RNA", at positions 524 to 776 of the family's 1533-position model. The record is from RNAcentral.